AUAUCAUUCAGCGGAGGAAAGGAAACCAACAGGGAUUGCCUCAGUAACGGCGAGUGAAGCGGCAAGAGCUCAGAUUUGAAAUCGGCCACCCGGCUGAGUUGUAAUCUGUAGAGGAAUGUUCGGCGGAAGUGUUGGCUAAAGUCUUCUGGAAGGGAGCGCCGUAGAGGGUGAGAGCCCCGUUUAGCCAGCGUCUGAUGCCAUGUGUACCUCCUUCGAAGAGUCGAGUUGUUUGGGAAUGCAGCUCAAAAUGGGUGGUAAAUUCCAUCUAAAGCUAAAUAUAAGCCAAAGAUCGAUAGCGCACAAGUAGAGUGAUCGAAAGAUGAAAAGCACUUUGGAAAGAGAGUGAAACAGUAC
This 354-nucleotide ribosomal RNA is filed under the name uncultured fungus. Its description in RNAcentral is "eukaryotic LSU rRNA". It matches the Rfam family "Eukaryotic large subunit ribosomal RNA", at positions 40 to 398 of the family's 3401-position model. Lineage: Eukaryota; Fungi. The record is from RNAcentral.